ACCAUUACAAUUACUACAACGGGGCUCAGCCUUACAGUCAUCUGCAGAGUGGUCAUUGAUGCCACAUUUUGCACAUGUUAGCCGCCCUCGGCAGCUCUGAGAAGCAUGACCAAACCUCUGGCAUUUAAAACAUCGUCGAGGGUUUGGGAUGUAUGGUCGUACUCUGAGUUUGGUAUAUCCAGGUUCUAAUAUCUCUGGUAGUGUGCUAGAGCCAAAAGUAAUAAUCAGGUGCUUAGUUGGCAGUUCCUUGUUGUCACGUCUAAUUUUUAUUCUUUGUACACUUAUUACGUUUUCAUCCUUCCAUCCUUCCAGGAGUUCUUCAUCGGUCAAGUCCAUCAAGUCCAUGUCAGAGAUUACGCCUUUGGCUGUAUUCAUGGUUCGGUGUGCUGUCACACUGACAGGGAUGUCUUCAAGUUGUACCAGGACUGCAGCCAUCUGGUUGUUUAUGGUGAGACGGUCGAAUCGCUGCAGCGGCAUAACGAAUGGCUGCAACAAAAUGCAGCAAUUGCUGUUAACGAUGACGUGAGGCCACGCCUUCUGGCCACUGCCCAGGAGCGACAUGAACGCCUUCGCAGCCUCACGAUAUCAGAGGCAUUGAUGCUGUAUCCAUUUUUGGCAUCGGAGGCUUCGUUACUUUUGGAAUUCAGCAUUGUGUUCAAGAAGAAUGCUGGAGAGUGCUUCGCCCAAGGAUGUGAGCAGCUAUGCGACAUUGUCCUGAAGCAUGCUGAUGACAGCGAAGUUGCCGCAUUCUCCCAUGUUGCAGCAGAAAACCCCAUACUCGCGACAUUGGAGUUCCUGGCAUCUCGCUGCAAAGAAUCUUUAAGUGUAAUUUUGUCAGCG
Non-coding RNA from Dermacentor albipictus, 840 nucleotides. The record is from RefSeq and is a predicted model, not a curated record. NCBI's taxonomy places the organism in Eukaryota, Metazoa, Arthropoda, Arachnida, Ixodida, Ixodidae.